This 841-nucleotide ribosomal RNA is filed under the name uncultured bacterium. RNAcentral describes it as "bacterial SSU rRNA". It matches the Rfam family "Bacterial small subunit ribosomal RNA", at positions 68 to 917 of the family's 1533-position model. The record is from RNAcentral.
AGGUCCAUGCAGUGGCAACACUGCGGAAGACCUAGUGGCGAACGGGUGAGUAACACAUGAGGAACCUGCCCCGAAGACCGGGAUAACCCUCCGAAAGGAGAGCUAAUACCGGAUACCCCCACCUGGUCGCAUGGCCGGGUGAGGAAAUGGAUUCCGCUUCGGGAGGGCCUCGCGGCCUAUCAGCUAGUUGGUGAGGUAACGGCUCACCAAGGCAUCGACGGGUAGCUGGUCUGAGAGGACGAUCAGCCACACUGGGACUGAGACACGGCCCAGACUCAUACGGGAGGCAGCAGUGGGGAAUCUUGCGCAAUGGGCGAAAGCCUGACGCAGCAACGCCGCGUGGGGGAUGAAGGCUCUCGGGUUGUAAACCCCUUUCAGCAGGGACGAAAUUGACGGUACCUGCAGAAGAAGCCCCGGCUAACUACGUGCCAGCAGCCGCGGUAACACGUAGGGGUUUUUUCGUUGUCCGGAUUUAUUGGGCGUAAAGAGCUCGUAGGUGGCUAAGUAAGUCGGGUGUCAAAUCCCCAGGCUCAACCUGGGUCUCCACCCGAUACUGCUUUGGCUAGAGUCCGGUAGGGGAGCGUGGAAUUCCUGGUGUAGCGGUGAAAUGCGCAGAUAUCAGGAGGAACACCAGCGGCGAAGGCGGCGCUCUGGGCCGGUACUGACACUGAGGAGCGAAAGCGUGGGUAGCAAACAGGAUUAGAUACCCUGGUAGUCCACGCCGUAAACGUUGGGCACUAGGUGUGGGGUCUAUUCAACGGACUCCGUGCCGUCGCUAACGCAUUAAGUGCCCCGCCUGGGGAGUACGGCCGCAAGGCUAAAACUCAAAGGAAUUGACGGG